UACGUAGGGGGCAAGCGUUGUCCGGAAUUAUUGGGCGUAAAGAGCGUGUAGGCGGCCUGACAGGUCUGCUGUGAAAACUCGAGGCUCAACCUCGAGAUGUCGGCGGAAACCGUCUGGCUAGAGUCCGGAAGAGGAGAGUGGAAUUCCUGGUGUAGCGGUGAAAUGCGCAGAUAUCAGGAGGAACACCGAUGGCGAAGGCAGGUCUCUGGGCCACUACUGACGCUGAGAAGCGAAAGCAUGGGGAGCGAACAGG
RNAcentral lists this ribosomal RNA (253 nucleotides) under uncultured bacterium. Its description in RNAcentral is "partial 16S ribosomal RNA". It matches the Rfam family "Bacterial small subunit ribosomal RNA", at positions 524 to 776 of the family's 1533-position model. The record is from RNAcentral.